Chenopodium quinoa (quinoa) is the source of this 3829-nucleotide long non-coding RNA. RefSeq lists it as uncharacterized. The transcript has 2 exons. The record is from RefSeq and is a predicted model, not a curated record. NCBI's taxonomy places the organism in Eukaryota, Viridiplantae, Streptophyta, Magnoliopsida, Caryophyllales, Amaranthaceae.
CAAAUUAGUUUUCCUUUGUUUGGUUGCAUACAAGAAAAAAAAAAAAAAAUAAGAGUGGAAAUGUAAAGAUGAAUGAGAGGAAAGUAAAAAAAAAAGAGGUAAGGAGGAGAGAGGAAAAUGUUGUUUUGGGAAGGAAAAUAUUUUCCGUCAUUAAGAAUGGAAUUUUCCACCCUUGAAAAAAUUGUAUUUCCACCCCUUAACAAACCAAACAAAGGAAUUAGAAAAAAUGGAAAAUUCAUUUUGCAUGAAAACCUUUUACAUCAAACCAAAUAAGGCCUAAUUUACGCGGUAAAACUUAUAUCCUUACAUCGUGUUAUACUUCCCGAAUCUAAUACGGAGUAAAUGUCUCACGUCUCAUAAUUUAAUACGGUAUUAGUACAAAUGAACGUAUCUUCCUCCUGCUCUCCUCUCUCACUUUCAGAGUUCUCCAUUGAAUCGCACUUGACGUUCUCCAUUGAUGCGCCUUCUAAUUCUUGUAUCCUCCAUUGAAGCAGUUUCUGAGAACCCUUAAAUGUUAAGAUUGAGUUAUGAAUUUGGACCUCUUCUCUCUCCUGCCCUGGCUUAGGGACGAGCCUGGGUAAAACAGAUCAAAUUAUUUUCUAGGUAUGAUUUUUUUUUUUUGGGUAAUUUUUGAGUAAGAUUUGUGUUGAUUUAUUAUUUUUUAUCCCAAUUUAAGUUUAAUUUUACUUGUGAAAUCUUGAAAAAUCACAAGAAUAUAAUUAUAUAGAACCAAUGAAUGUGAGAAAGUGUUAAAAUUAGUGCAAUCUAACAAUAAUUAGAGGAUUACAAUUUUUCAAAAAUAUAAGACAUUUGAUAUUCUCAGGGCUCGAUUCCUUUUGAUUUCCUUCCUCGUUAUUCAUUAAAACCAGUGUCAAAACUCAAAAUAGAUGAAUGUAAAGCAUAUAUAGAAUGUGACAAAUUUGGAAACAUGAAAAGUAAUUUUUGUUAGGAAAAGGAAUGUUUUCUUCACAUUCUAAUUGUGACAAUUAUUUUUCCUAACUUGGCCUUUUACUGUUAUAUUUCUCAAGAAACGUUGACAAAUAUUACUACUUUCUUGUAAUAAAUGAACCCAUCUUAUUAAUCAUGCCCAUAUUGUUUUUUUAUCAUUCAUUGAGACUAAGCUACAUUAAAGAUCUAGGUCUUGAAUUUUUUCUUACUUUCAAAACAGUAGACUUAGGUAAAAAUUAUUUUAUCUUCUCAUGCAGCAUAGAAACAGCUUGAACAUUGAAUUGAAAAGAAGGAUCUCUUGUUCAGGCCGGUUAUGAAUGGAGAUUUUUGUGUAGGUUGCUUAGAUUUAACCUCUCAAAUAGUUAAAAGUGCUUAGAGGGAGGCGAUGUACAUCUAGAGCUCCUUGAAUCCUAUCUUAACAGGAAUUACACAGCAUUGCUCAUAUAAGAUCAGGAUCUUAGUAUUUAUUUGAUAUUAUAGGAUCAUGACUAGUUAGAACCAUUUGCUGGUAUGUGUGAUAUUCACAUGUCUUUGAAGUUCAGGUGAUUUUUAUUUUAUUUAUCUAAUUAUCUAUUUUUAUUUUUGAGGGAAAGUUGUGGUGAUUAAGUUAAAAGAAAUUCAAAUAUUACUAUACUAGUGUCGAGCAAUUCGACGUCAUCGUGUGAGAUGUUUGGUACUCAUUUUUGCUAGUGUGUGUAGUAUUCACGAGUCUAUUAAGUUGGGGGUUAUUGUUUCCUUUGGUAAUUACGAUCAAAAUAAAUUAUUUAAUAAUGAAUUUGAUUUCGUCCAAGACUCAGUCUUUAAUUACAUAUCUCUUCCUUAGGAUAGCAUGUCCUUUGACUUCACUUUAAGAUGCAUUAUUGUCAUAAUUGUGUCCAAUACAUUUUCUCAAACUGUUACUUGUGACGUGGCACCUUUAUUUUUAUUUCCUUAUUAUCUAUUUCUCUCACAUAUUUUGAUUUGGUGAAUGGGGAUUAUUAGGGGACUAUUAAGUACCUCCUCUCUUGUAAAAAAAAAAGUACCUUCUCUGAUUUUUUUUUUACUCGACUUACUUUGACUCUUACAUUGUUCAUACACGCUCAUUUGACCGUCUUUCAUGAAUUAUAUGCUAGGAAAAGCAUAUUAUGUUAUUAAAAUCGUCUAAAAAAAAUUACUAUCACAAUUUCUGUUUUUUACUUAUUGAUAAAUAAAAUUAUUGAAGGAUAAAUUUAUGCAUUGGUAAACAUGAUAAAUGAAAUAGUUCAAGUAAAAAAGAACGAAGGAAGGAGGAAGUAUCAAUAUAAUCUUUUCUUGUAAGUUAAUAUAUGAUUUUCGGUGUUAUAUAUCGCAUGUAUAUCAUUUUUGAUCCGCUAACAUGUAGAAGGAUAAGUUUGAUAUCAAUCUUUAGCUAAGAAAUGGAAUCUGAAAUUCUAAGAGGGCUCAAAAUGGGCCGCAUGGCCGCAUGGCUACAAAGUAUGAUAAUUUGGCAUACAUCUUAGCAAAGUAAUGGGCCGCUACAUGUAUUGAUUUUAUGAUAAUUUGGCAUACAUCUUAGCAUACUAAUGGGCCGCAUGGCUACAUGUAUUAAUUUAUUUUAAGAUAAUUUGGCAUACAUCUUAGCAAACUAAUGGGCCACAUGGCCGCAUGGCUACAUGUAUUAAUUUUAAGAUAAUUUGGCAUAAAUCUUAGCGAACUAAAGUUUAAUUGACACAACAUCACCGGUAGGAAAAUUGGUAUGCCUAAACAUUUAGCUAGAGUAUAUGGCUGAAAUUCAUGUCCAAAGUUUUAGGGUGAGAUCAAGUUCUGGUGUUUUUUUUUUGCUUGUUCUCAAAGGACAUAGUGAGCCAAGUUGGCUCAACACACUGUUUCUUUGCAAGGCCUUCAUCAUUCUGCCUUGCUUGCAAAAUAGUUGUGAUGUUUGGAGCAGCAGAAGGAUCAAAGGUUGUGGUCACUCUGGGGCUUAAUAUGGGAUUUGGAGCAUUGACACAAGGGCUUGGCCACCCCGGUUUGUAUGCAGGAUCAACGGCCUGCAUCAUAGAGGAUGGCCUCAUGAACCCAUCUAGGGAUUGAGAAAAAUCGGAUGGAGCCUGGUUAAGAUCCAUUUUAGGGUUACAGUUAACUGGCCUUGGCUGCCAUCCACUGUGGCCAUUUCCAUGGUAAGGAGGAUGCGGGAAUUGUUUUCCAUAGUCGGGAUCCUGAAGCAGAGGUACCCUUGCACGAUAAGAGAUUGGAUUUUCGGCAUUUCCCUGUGCUUCUUUCAUUGCUUGCUCCGUCUUCCUCUCUUGCUUGUGUACUGUUGAGUGGGCGCGAAGCGCCUCUGUAGUCGGGAGUCUCAGGUAACAGAUUUUGCAGACUAUGGGAUAUUGACUUGGAGGUGCAGAGGCAGGCAAAACAUAACCAGAGAGGUGUUUGGAUGAUUCUCCUUUUUCACCCUUGUUGGGCUUUUUCUGUGGUAUCUCUGGUUUGGCAUCACCUUCUGGGGAUAAAUAUUGCUUAAUCAUGGCUUUCACCUGACGAUGAAUUUCAAAUUUUAUGGCCGGGGAAAGGGUUGGUAUUUCAGAGGAGUUCAGGUCUGGCUUAAAGCCAUUUCUCUCGAAUGCCUCAUAAGCAAUUGUCUUCCCCUUGUCCAAUGUGCGUUUCUUCGGGGGUUGUACUGCUGACCUCGAGAAUUUGGCUCGGAAGGAGGCUUGACCAUUGUUUGCUUCCAUGAUGGCUUUCAAAAUUUUUACUCUGAACUCUCUCUGGUGGAUUGUAUUGUGUUGUGACUUGUGAGGAAGAGGGGGUCAAAAUCAAGUAUUUAUUGACAAGAAAAAAUUAUUGCCCUACACCCAUAUAUGGUAUGUAUCCUGAUGAAUUUGUAAAGGUGUGAAAUCAAUUAAAUACAAAAUCAUGAUUUUAUCUA